CGGCCCGGUCGCCGACGAGCUUGGGCCGGACGUUGGGGUCGUACGAGACGAGCGUGCCGGCACUCCGGGCGGCCC
Molecule: transfer RNA, 75 nt
Filed under: Phytohabitans aurantiacus
Lineage: Bacteria; Bacillati; Actinomycetota; Actinomycetes; Micromonosporales; Micromonosporaceae
Description: Micromonospora sp. RD004123 tRNA-Pro
Source: RNAcentral